AGAAUCAACGCUGGCGGCGUGCCUAACACAUGCAAGUCGAACGAGAAAGGGGAGCAAUCCCUGAGUAAAGUGGCGACCGGGUGAGUAACACGUGACUAACCUACCUUCGAGUGGGGGAUAACCUCGGGAAACCGAGGCUAAUACCGCAUAACAUCGUGAGAUCAAAGCAGUAAUGCGCUGGAAGAGGGGGUCGCGGCUGAUUAGCUAGUUGGCGGGGUAAUGGCCCACCAAGGCGAAGAUCGGUAGCCGGCCUGAGAGGGCGCACGGCCACACCUGGAACUGAAACACGGUCCAGACUCCUACGGGAGGCAGCAGUGGGAAUUUUGCGCAAUGGGGGAAACCCUGACGCAGCAACGCCGCGUGGAGGAUGAAGUCCCUUGGGACGUAAACUCCUUUCGACCAAGACGAUAAUGACGGUACUGGUGGAAGAAGCACCGGCUAACUCUGCGCCAGCAGCCGC
RNAcentral lists this ribosomal RNA (460 nucleotides) under uncultured bacterium. Its description in RNAcentral is "SSU rRNA". It matches the Rfam family "Bacterial small subunit ribosomal RNA", at positions 26 to 518 of the family's 1533-position model. The record is from RNAcentral.